GAGUUUGAUCGUGGCUCAGGAUGAACGCUGGCGGCGUGCUUAACACAUGCAAGUCGAACGAAGCACUUUACCACGAUUCCUUCGGGAUGACGGUUUAGUGACUGAGUGGCGGACGGGUGAGUAACGCGUGGGGAACCUGCCCCAUACCGGGGGUAACAGCCGGAAACGGCUGCUAAUACCGCAUAAGCGCACAGUACCGCAUGGUACGGUGUGAAAAACUCCGGUGGUAUGGGAUGGACCCGCGUCUGAUUAGCCAGUUGGCGGGGUAACGGCCACCAAAGCGACGAUCAGUAGCCGGCCUGAGAGGGCGACCGGCCACAUUGGGACUGAGACACGGCCCAGACUCCUACGGGAGGCAGCAGUGGGGGAAUAUUGCACAAUGGGGGAAACCCUGAUGCAGCAACGCCGCGUGAGUGAGGAAGUAUUUCGGUAUGUAAAGCUCUAUCAGCAGGGGAAGAAGAAAUGACGGUACCUGACUAAGAAGCCCCGGCUAACUACGUG
RNAcentral lists this ribosomal RNA (501 nucleotides) under uncultured bacterium. RNAcentral's name for it is "bacterial SSU rRNA". It matches the Rfam family "Bacterial small subunit ribosomal RNA", at positions 9 to 507 of the family's 1533-position model. The record is from RNAcentral.